UACAGAGGGUGCAAGCGUUAAUCGGAAUUACUGGGCGUAAAGCGCGCGUAGGUGGUUUGUUAAGUUGGAUGUGAAAUCCCCGGGCUCAACCUGGGAACUGCAUCCAAAACUGGCAAGCUAGAGUAUGGUAGAGGGUGGUGGAAUUUCCUGUGUAGCGGUGAAAUGCGUAGGUAUAGGAAGGAACACCAGUGGCGAAGGCGACCACCUGGACUGAUACUGACACUGAGGUGCGAAAGCGUGGGGAGCAAACAGG
This 253-nucleotide ribosomal RNA is filed under the name uncultured bacterium. Its description in RNAcentral is "partial 16S ribosomal RNA". It matches the Rfam family "Bacterial small subunit ribosomal RNA", at positions 524 to 776 of the family's 1533-position model. The record is from RNAcentral.